GGGGGGUCCUGGGGGGUCUCCCACGGGUCCGCUGCGUUCUGGGGGGGCCGCCGGGGCCCCCCCCCUGGGGCCGUACUCACAGUCCCCCUGUGCCGCCAGCUUCUUGCUCUCAGGCUGAUCUCCGUCCUCCAGCUGCCGUUUCUGCCCCCCAAAGCCAAAAUCCGGGGUGCUGUUGUUGACCGUCGUGGCCGCAUCGCCCCCAAUUUUCGCCGCUAUCUGCCGGGCCCUCUGCACGGCGUCGGCGAACGCGUCCUUCCGGAUCCCCCCUCCGGGUGGGCCUCCCCCGCCGGUGCCGCCUCCUCCUC
Molecule: long non-coding RNA, 305 nt
Filed under: Gallus gallus (chicken)
Lineage: Eukaryota; Metazoa; Chordata; Aves; Galliformes; Phasianidae
Source: RNAcentral